RNAcentral lists this ribosomal RNA (253 nucleotides) under uncultured bacterium. Its description in RNAcentral is "partial 16S ribosomal RNA". It matches the Rfam family "Bacterial small subunit ribosomal RNA", at positions 524 to 776 of the family's 1533-position model. The record is from RNAcentral.
UACGUAGGGAGCAAGCGUUGUUCGGAUUUACUGGGCGUAAAGGGCGCGUAGGCGGCGCGGUAAGUCACUUGUGAAAUCUCUGAGCUUAACUCAGAACGGCCAAGUGAUACUGCAGUGCUAGAGUGCAGAAGGGGCAAUCGGAAUUCUUGGUGUAGCGGUGAAAUGCGUAGAUAUCAAGAGGAACACCUGAGGUGAAGACGGGUUGCUAGGCUGACACUGACACUGAGGCACGAAAGCUAGGGGAGCAAACAGG